This 72-nucleotide transfer RNA is filed under the name Blastobotrys adeninivorans. RNAcentral's name for it is "tRNA Pro (AGG) score". It matches the Rfam family "tRNA". Rfam says of the family: Transfer RNA (tRNA) molecules are approximately 80 nucleotides in length. Their secondary structure includes four short double-helical elements and three loops (D, anti-codon, and T loops). Lineage: Eukaryota; Fungi; Ascomycota; Dipodascomycetes; Dipodascales; Trichomonascaceae. The record is from RNAcentral.
GGCCCGAUGGUUUAGUGGUAUAAUUCUCGCUUAGGGUGCGAGAGGUCCCGGGUUCGAUUCCCGGUUGGGCCC